GCCGGGGUGGCGGAGUCUGGCUAACGCGCGGGCCUCGAGAGCCCGUGACCUAACGGUCAUGUGGGUUCAAAUCCCACCCCCGGCG
Molecule: transfer RNA, 85 nt
Filed under: Nitrososphaerota archaeon
Lineage: Archaea; Thermoproteati; Nitrososphaerota
Description: Thaumarchaeota archaeon tRNA-Ser
Rfam family: tRNA
About the family: Transfer RNA (tRNA) molecules are approximately 80 nucleotides in length. Their secondary structure includes four short double-helical elements and three loops (D, anti-codon, and T loops). Further hydrogen bonds mediate the characteristic L-shaped molecular structure. tRNAs have two regions of fundamental functional importance: the anti-codon, which is responsible for specific mRNA codon recognition, and the 3' end, to which the tRNAs corresponding amino acid is attached (by aminoacyl-tRNA synthetases). tRNAs cope with the degeneracy of the genetic code in two manners: having more than one tRNA (with a specific anti-codon) for a particular amino acid; and 'wobble' base-pairing, i.e. permitting non-standard base-pairing at the 3rd anti-codon position.
Source: RNAcentral